RNAcentral lists this ribosomal RNA (1336 nucleotides) under Lactiplantibacillus plantarum. Its description in RNAcentral is "bacterial SSU rRNA". It matches the Rfam family "Bacterial small subunit ribosomal RNA", at positions 89 to 1412 of the family's 1533-position model. The record is from RNAcentral. Lineage: Bacteria; Bacillati; Bacillota; Bacilli; Lactobacillales; Lactobacillaceae.
GAGUGAGUGGCAAACUGGUGAGGAGGCUGGAUCACCUCUGUCCUAAAGCGGGGGAUAACACCUGGAAACAGAUGCUAAUACCGCAUAACAACUUGGACCGCAUGGUCCGAGCUUGAAAGAUGGCUUCGGCUAUCACUUUUGGAUGGUCCCGCGGCGUAUUAGCUAGAUGGUGGGGUAACGGCUCACCAUGGCAAUGAUACGUAGCCGACCUGAGAGGGUAAUCGGCCACAUUGGGACUGAGACACGGCCCAAACUCCUACGGGAGGCAGCAGUAGGGAAUCUUCCACAAUGGACGAAAGUCUGAUGGAGCAACGCCGCGUGAGUGAAGAAGGGUUUCGGCUCGUAAAACUCUGUUGUUAAAGAAGAACAUAUCUGAGAGUAACUGUUCAGGUAUUGACGGUAUUUAACCAGAAAGCCACGGCUAACUACGUGCCAGCAGCCGCGGUAAUACGUAGGUGGCAAGCGUUGUCCGGAUUUAUUGGGCGUAAAGCGAGCGCAGGCGGUUUUUUAAGUCUGAUGUGAAAGCCUUCGGCUCAACCGAAGAAGUGCAUCGGAAACUGGGAAACUUGAGUGCAGAAGAGGACAGUGGAACUCCAUGUGUAGCGGUGAAAUGCGUAGAUAUAUGGAAGAACACCAGUGGCGAAGGCGGCUGUCUGGUCUGUAACUGACGCUGAGGCUCGAAAGUAUGGGUAGCAAACAGGAUUAGAUACCCUGGUAGUCCAUACCGUAAACGAUGAAUGCUAAGUGUUGGAGGGUUUCCGCCCUUCAGUGCUGCAGCUAACGCAUUAAGCAUUCCGCCUGGGGAGUACGGCCGCAAGGCUGAAACUCAAAGGAAUUGACGGGGGCCCGCACAAGCGGUGGAGCAUGUGGUUUAAUUCGAAGCUACGCGAAGAACCUUACCAGGUCUUGACAUACUAUGCAAAUCUAAGAGAUUAGACGUUCCCUUCGGGGACAUGGAUACAGGUGGUGCAUGGUUGUCGUCAGCUCGUGUCGUGAGAUGUUGGGUUAAGUCCCGCAACGAGCGCAACCCUUAUUAUCAGUUGCCAGCAUUAAGUUGGGCACUCUGGUGAGACUGCCGGUGACAAACCGGAGGAAGGUGGGGAUGACGUCAAAUCAUCAUGCCCCUUAUGACCUGGGCUACACACGUGCUACAAUGGAUGGUACAACGAGUUGCGAACUCGCGAGAGUAAGCUAAUCUCUUAAAGCCAUUCUCAGUUCGGAUUGUAGGCUGCAACUCGCCUACAUGAAGUCGGAAUCGCUAGUAAUCGCGGAUCAGCAUGCCGCGGUGAAUACGUUCCCGGGCCUUGUACACACUGACCGUCACACCAUGAGAGUU